CAAAUCUUUAAUAACCGUUUGUACUAUGACAAUCUAAGGCUCGGUAGAGUUAUUUAGGUGUAAUUAAGGUCCGUUAAGUUGUUUUGUAAUUCCUACAUCUUACCUAAAAUAUUCCCCUUCCACCCUGGCAAUAUUGUGGAAAUGCGUUCAAAACCAGAUUGCAGUGCCCUGUGGAAUUGCGUUCAAAACUACAUUGCAGUGCCCGGGAGAAUGCAGAAAACAAGUGCAAAACAAGUGCAAACAUACUAUUUUUGAAUAAAUACCAAGGCUUAUGAUUCCGAACGUUAACAAACUAACCGAUUACACACGCCGAUUGUUUCGCCGAUUUGUG
Molecule: non-coding RNA, 331 nt
Organism: Paramuricea clavata
Lineage: Eukaryota; Metazoa; Cnidaria; Anthozoa; Malacalcyonacea; Plexauridae
Source: the annotation of a GenBank genome assembly